UACGUAGGUGGCAAGCGUUGUCCGGAUUUACUGGGCGUAAAGAGCGCGCAGGCGGUCGAGUAAGUCGAAUGUGAAAGCCCCCGGCUUAACUGGGGAGGGUCAUUCGAUACUGUUCGACUUGAAGGCAGGAGAGGGCAGCAGAAUUCCCGGUGUAGUGGUGAAAUGCGUAGAUAUUUGCUAGAACACCAGUGGCGAAGGCGGCCAACUGGACCAUAACUGACGCUGAGGUGCGAAAGCGUGGGGAGCAAACGGG
RNAcentral lists this ribosomal RNA (253 nucleotides) under uncultured bacterium. Its description in RNAcentral is "partial 16S ribosomal RNA". It matches the Rfam family "Bacterial small subunit ribosomal RNA", at positions 524 to 776 of the family's 1533-position model. The record is from RNAcentral.